Molecule: ribosomal RNA, 801 nt
Filed under: uncultured Rubrobacter sp.
Lineage: Bacteria; Bacillati; Actinomycetota; Rubrobacteria; Rubrobacterales; Rubrobacteraceae
Description: bacterial SSU rRNA
Rfam family: Bacterial small subunit ribosomal RNA
Source: RNAcentral
AGAGUUUGAUCCUGGCUCAGGACGAACGCUGACGGUGUGCUUUAGGCAUGCAAGUCGAACGAGAAAGCCCUUCGGGGUGAGUAAAGUGGCGAACGGGUGAGUAACACGUGGGCAACCUGCCCCUCGCAGGGGGACAACCGGAGGAAACUCCGGCUAAUACCCCGUACGCUUGUUGGAUCGCAUGGUUCGGCAGGGAAAGGUAGCUUCGGCCAUCCGGCGAGGGAUGGGCCCGCGUUGCAUUAGCUAGUUGGUGGGGUAACGGCCUACCAAGGCGACGAUGCGUAGCUGGUCUGAGAGGAUGAUCAGCCACACUGGGACUGAGACACGGCCCAGACUCCUACGGGAGGCAGCAGCCAGGAAUCUUGGGCAAUGGGCGAAAGCCUGACCCAGCAACACCGUGUGGGCGAUGAAGGCCUUAGGGUCGUAAAGCCCUGUUGAUAGGGACGAAGGGCGAAGGGUUAAUAGCCCCUAGCUUGACGGUACCUUUCGAGGAAGCCCCGGCUAACUACGUGCCAGCAGCCGCGGUAAUACGUAGGGGGCGAGCGUUGUCCGGAAUUAUUGGGCGUAAAGAGCGUGUAGGCGGUUCGGUAAGUCUGCUGUGAAAUCCUGGGGCUCAACCCUGGGCGUGCAGCGGAUACUGCCGGGCUAGAGGGUGGUAGAGGCGAGUGGAAUUCCGAGUGUAGCGGUGAAAUGCGCAGAUAUUCGGAGGAACACCAGUAGCGAAGGCGGCUCGCUGGGCCACACCUGACGCUGAGNCGCGAAAGCGUGGGGAGCGAACAGGAUUAGAUACCCCCGUAGUCC